GGGAGUAUAGCCAAAUGGAAAGGCAAAGGUCUGCAAAACCUUCAAUUCUGGUUCGAAUCCAGAUACUCCCUC
Molecule: transfer RNA, 72 nt
Filed under: Siminovitchia terrae
Lineage: Bacteria; Bacillati; Bacillota; Bacilli; Caryophanales; Bacillaceae
Description: tRNA-Cys
Rfam family: tRNA
About the family: Transfer RNA (tRNA) molecules are approximately 80 nucleotides in length. Their secondary structure includes four short double-helical elements and three loops (D, anti-codon, and T loops). Further hydrogen bonds mediate the characteristic L-shaped molecular structure. tRNAs have two regions of fundamental functional importance: the anti-codon, which is responsible for specific mRNA codon recognition, and the 3' end, to which the tRNAs corresponding amino acid is attached (by aminoacyl-tRNA synthetases). tRNAs cope with the degeneracy of the genetic code in two manners: having more than one tRNA (with a specific anti-codon) for a particular amino acid; and 'wobble' base-pairing, i.e. permitting non-standard base-pairing at the 3rd anti-codon position.
Source: RNAcentral